AUUUUGGAUGCUGGAGUUUUGCAAAUGGUUGAAUGAUUAACUAAUUGCCAAAUAUUCCUCAUAUACUCUGUUUUCAUGGAGUCAUUGAUGGAUUGAAUAGGUGGACUAUUUAUUUCAGUAUUUUUCUCCCCUUUAUUGAAUUUGUUUAUCUUGUAGAUGAUUGUCGCUUAACAAGUUUAUCAAGUUUGAUUCAUUUCACCAAAUUGUUUUGAAAUUCUUAAAUGCCAUCAUAAGGUUGGAACUAGCUUUUAGUUAGGCUAGAUUUUCUUCUUUCAAUUGUACCUUUUAUGUGAUAAUUUCUUCUACAUACUGAAUUUAGUAGUAAUGAAAGGUCUCUUUU
RNAcentral lists this unclassified non-coding RNA (340 nucleotides) under Hevea brasiliensis (rubber tree). Lineage: Eukaryota; Viridiplantae; Streptophyta; Magnoliopsida; Malpighiales; Euphorbiaceae. The record is from RNAcentral.